Molecule: long non-coding RNA, 105 nt
Organism: Aricia agestis (brown argus)
Lineage: Eukaryota; Metazoa; Arthropoda; Insecta; Lepidoptera; Lycaenidae
Exons: 3
Source: RefSeq, a predicted model, not a curated record
UUAUUUUUUUAUGGCGUCGUUACAAGGCUACCAGGCUCAAUUUUGUUGAACUGUCAAAUGUGGCCUAUUAAAUUGCCCCGACUAUAAUUCGUUUAACAAAUAAUG